ACGGGGGGAGAGUUUGAUCCUGGCUCAGGAUGAACGCUGGCGGUGCGCUUAACACAUGCAAGUCGAACGAUGAUCCGGUGCUUGCACCGGGGAUUAGUGGCGAACGGGUGAGUAACACGUGAGUAACCUGCCCUUGACUCUGGGAUAAGCCUGGGAAACUGGGUCUAAUACCGGAUAUGACUCCUCAUCGCAUGGUGGGGGGUGGAAAGCUUUUGUGGUUUUGGAUGGACUCGCGGCCUAUCAGCUUGUUGGUGAGGUAAUGGCUCACCAAGGCGAGGACGGGUAGCCGGCCUGAGAGGGUGAGCGGCCACACUGGGACUGAGACACGGCCCAGACUCCUACGGGAGGCAGCAGUGGGGAAUAUUGCACAAUGGGCGGAAGCCUGAUGCAGCGACGCCGCGUGAGGGAUGACGGCCUUCGGGUUGUGAACCUCUUUCAGUCGAGAAGAAGAGAAGGUGACGGUACGUGCAGAAGAAGCGCCGGCU
This 485-nucleotide ribosomal RNA is filed under the name uncultured bacterium. Its description in RNAcentral is "bacterial SSU rRNA". It matches the Rfam family "Bacterial small subunit ribosomal RNA", at positions 1 to 498 of the family's 1533-position model. The record is from RNAcentral.